RNAcentral lists this ribosomal RNA (491 nucleotides) under uncultured bacterium. RNAcentral describes it as "partial 16S ribosomal RNA". It matches the Rfam family "Bacterial small subunit ribosomal RNA", at positions 29 to 507 of the family's 1533-position model. The record is from RNAcentral.
UUGAACGCUGGCGGCAUGCUUUACACAUGCAAGUCGAACGGUAACAGGCCUUCGGGUGCUGACGAGUGGCGAACGGGUGAGUAAUGCAUCGGAACGUACCCAGAGGUGGGGGAUAACGCAGCGAAAGCUGUGCUAAUACCGCAUGUGAUCUGAGGAUGAAAGCGGGGGACCGAGCAGCAAUGUUUGGCCUCGCGCCUUUGGAGCGGCCGAUGUCGGAUUAGCUAGUUGGUGGGGUAAAGGCCUACCAAGGCGACGAUCCGUAGCUGGUCUGAGAGGACGACCAGCCACACUGGGACUGAGACACGGCCCAGACUCCUACGGGAGGCAGCAGUGGGGAAUUUUGGACAAUGGGCGCAAGCCUGAUCCAGCAAUGCCGCGUGCGGGAAGAAGGCCUUCGGGUUGUAAACCGCUUUUGGCAGGAACGAAACGGUGUCCGCUAAUACCGGGCGCUAAUGACGGUACCUGCAGAAUAAGCACCGGCUAACUACGUA